AGGAGCUAGGAGCGUUGCCGGCCCCUGAAGUGGAGCGAGAGGGAGGUGCUUCGCCGUUUCUCCUGCCAGGGGAGGUCCCGGCUUCCCGUGGAGGCUCCGGACCAAGCCCCUUCAGCUUCUCCCUCCGGAUCGAUGUGCUGCUGUUAACCCGUGAGGAGGCGGCGGCAGCGGAAGAUGGUGUUGCUGAGAGUGUUAAUUCUGCUCCUCUCCUGGGCGGCGGGGAUGGGAGGUCAGUAUGGGAAUCCUUUAAAUAAAUAUAUCAGACAUUAUGAAGGAUUAUCUUACAAUGUGGAUUCAUUACACCAAAAACACCAGCGUGCCAAAAGAGCAGUCUCACAUGAGGACCAAUUUUUACGUCUAGAUUUCCAUGCCCAUGGAAGAUGGAGUCUCGCUCUGCUGACCAAGCUGGAGUGCAGUAGCGUGAUCUCGGCUCACUGCAGCCUCCACCUCCCAGACAUUUCAACCUACGAAUGAAGAGGGACACUUCCCUUUUCAGUGAUGAAUUUAAAGUAGAAAC
RNAcentral lists this small RNA (517 nucleotides) under Pan troglodytes (chimpanzee). RNAcentral describes it as "processed transcript". The record is from RNAcentral. Lineage: Eukaryota; Metazoa; Chordata; Mammalia; Primates; Hominidae.